GCGAACGGGUGAGUAACACGUGGGCAAUCUGCCCUUCACUCUGGGACAAGCCCUGGAAACGGGGUCUAAUACCGGAUACGAGUUCAGGAGGCAUCUUCUGGACUGGAAAGCUCCGGCGGUGAAGGAUGAGCCCGCGGCCUAUCAGCUUGUUGGUGGGGUAACGGCCCACCAAGGCGACGACGGGUAGCCGGCCUGAGAGGGCGACCGGCCACACUGGGACUGAGACACGGCCCAGACUCCUACGGGAGGCAGCAGUGGGGAAUAUUGCACAAUGGGCGAAAGCCUGAUGCAGCGACGCCGCGUGAGGGAUGACGGCCUUCGGGUUGUAAACCUCUUUCAGCAGGGAAGAAGCGAAAGUGACGGUACCUGCAGAAGAAGCGCCGGCUAACUACGUGCCAGCAGCCGCGGUAAUACGUAGGGCGCAAGCGUUGUCCGGAAUUAUUGGGCGUAAAGAGCUCGUAGGCGGCUUGUCACGUCGGGUGUGAAAGCCCGGGGCUUAACCCCGGGUCUGCAUCCGAUACGGGCAGGCUAGAGUGUGGUAGGGGAGAUCGGAAUUCCUGGUGUAGCGGUGAAAUGCGCAGAUAUCAGGAGGAACACCGGUGGCGAAGGCGGAUCUCUGGGCCAUUACUGACGCUGAGGAG
RNAcentral lists this ribosomal RNA (641 nucleotides) under Streptomyces sp. I15A-00494. Its description in RNAcentral is "bacterial SSU rRNA". It matches the Rfam family "Bacterial small subunit ribosomal RNA", at positions 98 to 753 of the family's 1533-position model. Lineage: Bacteria; Bacillati; Actinomycetota; Actinomycetes; Kitasatosporales; Streptomycetaceae. The record is from RNAcentral.